Molecule: ribosomal RNA, 158 nt
Filed under: Hodophilus foetens
Lineage: Eukaryota; Fungi; Basidiomycota; Agaricomycetes; Agaricales; Clavariaceae
Also listed under: 1 other name
Description: 5.8S ribosomal RNA
Rfam family: 5.8S ribosomal RNA
About the family: 5.8S ribosomal RNA (5.8S rRNA) is a component of the large subunit of the eukaryotic ribosome.
Source: RNAcentral
CAACUUUCAACAACGGAUCUCUUGGUUCUCGCAUCGAUGAAGAACGCAGCGAAUUGCGAUAUGUAAUGUGAAUUGCAGAAUUCAGUGAAUCAUCGAAUCUUUGAACGCACAUUGCACCCUCUGGUAUUCUGGAGGGUAUGCCUGUUUGAGUGUCAUUA